RNAcentral lists this ribosomal RNA (425 nucleotides) under uncultured bacterium. RNAcentral's name for it is "bacterial SSU rRNA". It matches the Rfam family "Bacterial small subunit ribosomal RNA", at positions 355 to 796 of the family's 1533-position model. The record is from RNAcentral.
UUGGGAAUCUUGCACAAUGGGGGAAACCCUGAUGCAGCGACGCCGCGUGGAGGAUGACGGAUUUAGGUCUGUAAACUCCUUUUUCAGGGAAAGACUUAGGACGGUACCCUGAGAAUAAGGACCGGCUAACUACGUGCCAGCAGCCGCGGUAAGACGUAGGGUCCAAGCGUUGUCCGGAUUUACUGGGCGUAAAGAGCGCGUAGGCGGCUCGUUAAGUGUGAAGCUAAAUCUCUGGGCUCAACCCGGAAACUAUUUCGCAUACUGGCGAGCUGGAGUGAUGAAGAGGUUUGUGGAAUUCCUGGUGUAGCGGUGAAAUGCGUUGAUAUCAGGAGGAACACCCAUGGCGAAGGCAGCAAACUGGUCAUCAACUGACGCUGAGGCGCGAAAGCGUGGGUAGCAAACAGGAUUAGAUACCCGUGUAGUCC